GUUUGUGGUACAGGAAAAGGGUUACGAUCUCAGUGGUUGAUUCAGUGAAAUAACAUCUCUUUUAUACACAUCUGCCUAGCAAGUAGGGCGGUAGUUGGAAAUACCCAAUCUAAAGUAUUAAAGAUUUGCUGGCAAAUAGCAAGGCAUUUUCUGCAAAGGAAAAGUUAUACUGAGUAGUCACUUUGAAUGCUUAGGAGUUACAGUCAAAUAUCCAAACACUGUGGAGUUACACUGCAUAUAUUAUUUUGUCAAGUAUUUAACACACUGGGAAUUGACUGCUGCACAGUUCAUAACCAAGAAGGCAUGAUAACAGUGGACUUUUAAGAAGAGACUUGGCAAAGGGCCCCUUAUGUCAGCCUACAGUUCAAGGGAACAUAAACCAAAAGGAAUGCAAAGUCAGAUGAAAAAGGAACAGUAUGUGACUGGAAAUGUGUAGAGAAGAGGCCUAUGAAGAGGAACAGCCUUCUGCAGGAGUCAGGUUUGUCUGCCUCGCUGUUGUAAGUUCCUCCUUUUGAAUUUUUAUUUUAGGAUUAGGUAUUUUUUAAUUUCUCUUUUUUUUUUAAAUUUAUUUUUUAACAGUAAAUUCAACUCCCCAAGAGCUCCUUACUCUUUAUCAGAAAACUUCCAAAUCUCUAGCCCUUCCUACUGCCUGGAAAUCCUAGACAUCUGCAAUAAUUCAGUGCUAAUAGUACUGUUCAGUAAUGAAUCUGACAAAGAUCAUAAGAUAUAGAUUAAAGUGGGACAUAAGAUAUCAUGCUGUUAGCACUUGGUAAUGUAAAACUCAUCUAGUUCUUGCUAGUCAAUACAAGUUCUAUCUUUCCUACU
Pezoporus flaviventris is the source of this 825-nucleotide long non-coding RNA. RefSeq lists it as uncharacterized. Lineage: Eukaryota; Metazoa; Chordata; Aves; Psittaciformes; Psittacidae. The record is from RefSeq and is a predicted model, not a curated record. The transcript is spliced from 3 exons.